GGGCGUUUAGCUCAGCUGGUUAGAGCGCACGGCUUACAUCCGUGAGGUUCGGGGGUUCGAAUCCCUCAACGCCCA
Molecule: transfer RNA, 75 nt
Filed under: Dehalococcoidales bacterium
Lineage: Bacteria; Bacillati; Chloroflexota; Dehalococcoidia; Dehalococcoidales
Description: tRNA-Val
Rfam family: tRNA
About the family: Transfer RNA (tRNA) molecules are approximately 80 nucleotides in length.
Source: RNAcentral